Corticium candelabrum is the source of this 1532-nucleotide RNA transcript. It is a transcript of the gene named protein farnesyltransferase subunit beta-like, with no coding region annotated. The transcript is spliced from 16 exons. The record is from RefSeq and is a predicted model, not a curated record. Lineage: Eukaryota; Metazoa; Porifera; Homoscleromorpha; Homosclerophorida; Plakinidae.
AUCCCGGAUGCAGAAGGCGUGUCCUACAGGUUCUUCAUCGCCAGAUGGCGUUGGCAGUCGAUGAGACGAUCGAAGAGCUGCAUUUCUGUACAGACGGCGUCGUGACUCGCUCAUCAAUAGAACAAAAAUUGGUUGAGAAGGCAGUUUUGGACUUGUACGAUCCGGUCGUGCGAGAUCCGUAUAGUCGAUUAAGCGUCCGACUGCUGAGAUUGAGACACGUGGCAUUUCUGAUGAGAGGACUGCACCUUCUGCCUCAAGGAUACGAAUCUUUAGAUGCAAGUCAACCGUGGAUAUGCUACUGGAUCAUACAUUCUCUGCGCCUUCUUGAUGCACCAAUUCCGAGCAAACUCAGUUCACAAAUAGUAGAGUUCUUGAAGAGGUGUCAAUGUCCUACAGGAGGCUUUGCAGGUGGUCCGUAUCAGAUGCCACAUCUAGCUACUACUUAUGCAGCUACCCUAGCUUUGUGCAGUCUAGGCACCGAAGAAGCCUAUCAAGCAAUAGACAGGUCUGCUCUACAGCUAUUCCUCAAGAGUCGACAUAUGCCUGAUGGCUCAUUCACGAUGCAUCAAGACGGCGAAGUCGACAUCAGGGGUGUAUAUUGUGCACUGACUGCUGCUAUGCUCACGAAUGUCUAUACACCUGAGAUGUUUGCUGGCAGUGCGGAAUGGGUAGCUCGAUGUCAGACGUAUGAGGGUGGCUUCUCUGGUGAGCCAGGCCUUGAAGCACAUGGUGGUUAUUGCUUUUGUGGCUAUGCAGCUCUCAUAUUGCUUGGGAAAGAGCACCUAAUAGACACAGACAAUCUACUGAAAUGGGCAGUACAUCGACAGAUGAGACUAGAAGGAGGCUUUCAGGGAAGAACAAACAAGUUGGUCGAUGGAUGCUAUUCUUUCUGGGUGGGAGGUUUGCUGCCUCUUCUGCAUUACACGCUUAUGAAGACAGGGGACAAAUCAUUAGAUGAAUCAGCGUGGUUGUUUGAUCAAGAAGCUUUACAGGAUUAUGUGCUGUUUUGUUGUCAGCUUGAGAAAGGAGGUCUAAUUGACAAGCCUGGAAAGUCUCGUGACUUCUACCACACAUGUUACUGUUUGAGUGGUUUGUCAAUUGCACAGAAUAAUCCAGGAGAUGGAGUAGACACAGUUGUUGGUCAUGCAGACAAUUUAUUGUGCAAGGUCCUACCCCGUUUACACAAGCAUACAUAGCGAGCGAAGUUGAGCCGAGCCUCACCAGCCUGUGCCAGCUUAGCAUUCCAGCCCACAUUUACAUGACACAAUCUUUAGAAAAACGUACACAUCCUGUGUUCAAUAUUUGCGAAGACAAAGUGGACGAAGCGAGAAACUACUUCAAAAGGCAACCAAUGGUUUUGUUAGAACCUACAGUUUGAGAGAGUAGGGAACUAUGGCAGUCAAGGAUUAUGAAUACAUCUGAGUGCUCAACAGUAACCGAAAAAGGCAACAAUACACGUUCAGUCUAAUGCAAACAAGUACAGCUAUGACAAUGAUGGAAUAUAGAAUAUGUAGAAUAUUAUUUGAUAUUAU